Molecule: ribosomal RNA, 468 nt
Filed under: uncultured bacterium
Lineage: Bacteria
Description: partial 16S ribosomal RNA
Rfam family: Bacterial small subunit ribosomal RNA
Source: RNAcentral
GACGAACGCUGGCGGCGUGCUUAACACAUGCAAGUCGAACGGAAAGGCCCUGCUUUUGUGGGGUGCUCGAGUGGCGAACGGGUGAGUAACACGUGAGUAACCUGCCCUUGACUUUGGGAUAACUUCAGGAAACUGGGGCUAAUACCGGAUAGGAGCUCCUGCUGCAUGGUGGGGGUUGGAAAGUUUCGGCGGUUGGGGAUGGACUCGCGGCUUAUCAGCUUGUUGGUGGGGUAGUGGCUUACCCAGGCUUUGACGGGUAGCCGGCCUGAGAGGGUGAACGGCGACAUGGGGACUGAGAGACGGACCAGACUCCUACGGGAGGCAGCAGUGGGGAAUAUUGCACAAUGGGCGGAAGCCUGAGGCAGCAACGCCGCGUGCGGGAUGACGGCCUUCGGGUUGUAAACCGCUUUCGCCUGUGACGAAGCGUGAGUGACGGUAAUGGGUAAAGAAGCACCGGCUAACUACGUG